Molecule: small RNA, 62 nt
Filed under: unclassified sequences
Description: NAD+-I sequence
Rfam family: nadA riboswitch
Source: Rfam by way of RNAcentral
GCUUUCAACAUCCCCGUCCGCUGCCCGGCCAGAAAUCUGGCAGGGUGAGCCGGGCUGAAGGC